Pogoniulus pusillus (Red-fronted tinkerbird) is the source of this 3704-nucleotide long non-coding RNA. RefSeq lists it as uncharacterized. The transcript is spliced from 6 exons. The record is from RefSeq and is a predicted model, not a curated record. Lineage: Eukaryota; Metazoa; Chordata; Aves; Piciformes; Lybiidae.
GCCGCCGCGCGCCGCGCUUCCGGCAUGACCCGGCCAGUGACGUCACCCGCCUCCGCGCGUCAGCGGGGGCCCGGCGGCGGGCGGCACGCAGGCGCCGCCGCGGCUGUGCUACGGUCCGGUUUUGUUACCGGGGCGCGCGGUAGUGCGCAGUUCGGCUGCUGUGCCGUGCCCAGCCCGUGCCUCAGCGCCUCGGGUUUGCCCCAGCAGCUCAGAAUCACAGGCACCUCUGGGAUCAUCCAGUCUUACUACCCUGCUAAAGCAGAGUCAGCUACAGCAGGUCGCCCAGGAUUGCGCAAGCCCAUACCUCAGGGUCCCGGUCCCACCUCAGCACCUCGGCCCCACUCUUAGGUACCGUAGCCUUACGUGGCCCAUGCCUCAGAGCACUGGAUUUAUUUCAGCACCAUACCUGUGUCCUGGCCGUGCCUCAUCACCCUGGCCCCAUACUUCAACCCAUGCCUCAGAGCCCUGGCUUUACCUCCGCACCCCAGCCUUACCUCGGUGCUUUCCGGGGAGAGGCAGCACGGAGCGCGGCAGCAGCAGCAGUGCUUGGAACACGCUGUAGUCCAGCCCAGGACAUAACCACUGCAUGAAGAGAGGAAGAGCUGUGAGAUGCACUCACUGCUCAGGGCAUCGGGAAACCAUGAGGCGUUUUUCGUUUGCCAUGUUGGCAACUGCUGCACAAGGAUGCUCAGGUGUUCUACUAAACCAGUGCUAAGGGUUUCAACCUAAGUGAGCAAUGAAUCCCCACAGCUGCAAGAAAUAACCCUGCAGGGGUUGAGUUAAUUAAAACUUAGCCAGUGAGUCAGGUGUGACUAUUUUACUCUAACCAGCAGCCCUGCAAAUGCAGCUGAUGUGGCCAGUCUCGUGUCCUGCUCCAGCUUUCCCAGUACAAAGGAAAUUGCAAACUAACAGCAGGCCAGCAAAGCAUUGCUGAAGUGGUCUGGGGAAUGGAACAUAGCAUAUGAGAGGCUGGGAGAGCUUUCUCGUGUGGAGAAAGCAAGGCUCAAGAGGAUUUAAUGGAAGUCUUCUGUAACCUAAAGUGGAGAAGAUGGAAGGAAUUUUUCUCAGAAGUGCACAGCAAAGAACAGGAAGGAAAAGGGCACAUGUCAAAACAAGGAAAAUUCCAAGUGAAAAUAUGGAAAAAAAGAUGGAUAACACAGCUGAUUCAGCACUGGAAUAGGCUCACAGAGAGACAUUGUAAUCUCUGUUCUUGGGAUGUGCUGAAAAACAUGAUCUAACUUUGAUGUUAGCUCUGUUUUCAGCUGGAGAUAGCAGCCAGAAGUCCCUUCCAAGCUAAAGGUUUAAGUGAGUCUACACUAGUUUUGCAGAUUUAGAAUGCAAAACAAAGUGUGUUUUCUACAAAGCAAGCAUUACCUCCUGAGAUAGUUAUGUUAUUUACCUAUCAGGGGAAACACAUUUGCCAGAGCUGCCUUCUGUUUUGGAGCAUACAAUAAUGCAUCAACACCCAUGCUGCAGAAACUGCCAAGAAAAUUGGUAGUAAGCCUCAGAGGAAAAGCUGCCAGUCAGAUAAGCAUGGGUAAGUUCAUCUAAAAACAAUAGUUUAGGCAGCAGUAGGGGAAAUUUUCACUUGCUGCUAAUUAUGCAUAUUUAAACCUGGUAAAAUAGAGAACCUGACUGUGGAGCAGGGGCUGAACAGAUCUUCCAUGAACAAGUAAAACAACUUGGGGAGCUUGCUGUAGACACUAUACCUUAACUGUAACUGCAUUACACCAGCAACAUUCUACAGUUCCUCAUUCUGUAGGCCACUCAACUCCGUUAAUAUUGGUAAUGACAUGUUUUCUCUGUUGGACACUCCAUAACUCAGUGCUGCAGUUUAUUUCCCCAAGGCUGGAAAAGAUUUUAUCACGUGUUGAUCCUUCUAUUCUCUUUUUACAUGGAAUGUGAAGGGAACAUGGAUGAUAUGCCAUCAAACCAGCUAGCCUGUUAUUGUGGAGGGCCCGUAGGCCCUAAAACAGGCUUCUUUGUGCCUUGCCCUGCCCGGACAUGUCUCUCUGCCUGCACCAGGGGUAAAGGAGCACAAAGGGGCACAACAGGGCUGGUGUUGUGGAGUCUGUCGUGCCCAGGACACCUGAUUGUGUAAGCCCCACAGGCACAGCUGGUGCCUGCCCAGUGCUAGGCCCACGUGAUUACCAUAUUUGGAGUCCAGGCCUGUGGGCUUUACCUAUUAUGGUAAGGCCUGGCUGACUGCCAGCCUGAUUGGUCAUUUUGGUGGCCAGUGGGCUGGGAAUUCUCGGCCCACAUUUAAUAAGCAGGAGUACAGAGGCUCACCUGCUGGCUCUCCCACAUUGCUUGCUUGCCUGCCUGCCUUCCAUCAGCCUGAGCAGCCAGCGUUAGACCCGUGCUCAGGCUGCACGGCGUGCCUCUGCACCUGAGAUCCUGCCUGCUUAUCCCUGGAGAGAGCGUCCGGAAGAGAUCAGCAACACAAGGCCUGAGGUUUUGCUCAUGAGUUUGCCUCAUUACAGAGGGAAGAGCUUGCCUACUACAAGGAUCUAACCUGAUUGCUACUCCAGUUGAAACCACCUUAAAGCUUGCUGAAUGCCUGCAAGAAUAAUGUACUGCACUCUGCAUAACACUGAGGGAUUUCCUGCACUGCCUCCCCACCGUUCAGCAAGGACCUCACCAGAGAGAAUCAAAGUGAGAAACUGAAAUUAGUCAGUCAAUGAAUGGGGAUGAGCUGAGAAAAAACCUACUGUGGAGCUCAAAGAAGAAUAUGGAAAGAGUCAUAAGAGGAAUGGUAAUUUCCACCCUGAAUUGUACUUCAGACAGCAUGAAAUGAAUGGAGUUUUGUGGAUUCAACACAGAGCAUACUGCCAAGUGGUUGUUUCUGCUUUCUGUCUAGCCCAGCAAGUCAAAAUCUCUAAGGAGAAACAAAAAGAAUUUCUAAAGAGGAGUGGGAUCCCAAGUCCUCGUGACCAUGCUUGCAUGAGAAGGAGAUCCUUAUAUGAAACAGUGAAGAAAACAUUUCUCUUUUGACAGAGAGGAAGAUUGAGCCGAAUGAAUCAAAGAGUGGCUGCUCACUGAUCUACUGGAGCUACUUGUUUGAACUGUGGGCAAGCUUCUGAAGUCCAGAUGCUCUGCUGGAGUCUAUUAUCAUACCUUCCUCAGCAGGUAACUUAACUCCUGCCUCUCGUCUUUUGAUCCCAGGCAGAAAGGACUAUGGGGAACUACUCCAUGUCUGACUGGGACUCUAGAAAAUAUCUGGUGGUCAAAGCAGAAUUCUCUGUUCCCCUCAAGAGCAUGGGCUGGAUGCAACUUCUUAAGGCAGCCAGCAGUAGCAGACUGGCAGAAUUAUAAGGGAAUGGAAAUUCCUCUCACUCUUUGGACUUUUUUUACACUCCAGGGCAAAACUGAUGGAGGAAGGUACUCUAAGGUAACUUUUGUAGUGUUUGGUUUCAACUCCAGCUGCUUCUCAGGACCUCAGACGAGUCCCAGCUGCAAAUCUUGUAUGCCAUAGUUGUUAGUGUGAUCAGUAGGGCAAACAAGAUGACUCAAAGACAGGUUGAUGAGGAAAUUAUGAUGUUUCAGGGGCUAGUUUAAUGCUUUGUGGGGAAUGGAUUCACUCAGCAUCUGGAGUGGACCAUGAUGUGAAAAGGUCUACCCUUAAAGUCCUACCCCUCAACUUUAAGAAUUAAUUCUGAACUUUAAUUCUAUUGAGGUUCAAAAUACACUUUGAAAUAAUACAA